AUCCCAUGAUGAUGACAUUUUCUCAGCAACUCCUUGAACCUUUCCCAUGCAUCAUACAAGGAUUCUCCAUCAUUCUGAAGGAAAUUGUUUAUCUCAUCCCCUAAUCUU
This is a small nucleolar RNA of Humulus lupulus (European hop), 108 nucleotides long. The record is from RefSeq and is a predicted model, not a curated record. NCBI's taxonomy places the organism in Eukaryota, Viridiplantae, Streptophyta, Magnoliopsida, Rosales, Cannabaceae.